UACGUAGGUGGCAAGCGUUGUCCGGAUUUACUGGGCGUAAAGAGUGCGUAGGCGGUUCGUUAAGUCAGCUGUGAAAGCCCCGGGCUCAACCUGGGAACUGCGGUUGAAACUGGCGAACUAGAAUCUGGCAGAGGGGGGUGGAAUUCCACGUGUAGCAGUGAAAUGCGUAGAGAUGUGGAGGAACACCGAUGGCGAAGGCAGCCCCCUGGGCUGAGAUUGACGCUCAGGCACGAAAGCGUGGGGAGCAAACAGG
RNAcentral lists this ribosomal RNA (253 nucleotides) under uncultured bacterium. RNAcentral's name for it is "partial 16S ribosomal RNA". It matches the Rfam family "Bacterial small subunit ribosomal RNA", at positions 524 to 776 of the family's 1533-position model. The record is from RNAcentral.